This 374-nucleotide ribosomal RNA is filed under the name uncultured organism. RNAcentral's name for it is "bacterial SSU rRNA". It matches the Rfam family "Bacterial small subunit ribosomal RNA", at positions 526 to 896 of the family's 1533-position model. The record is from RNAcentral.
CAGAGGGGGCAAGCGUUAUUCGGAAUUAUUGGGCGUAAAGGGCGCGUAGGCGGCCUUGCAAGUGACGGGUGAAAUCCCUCGGCUUAACCGAGGAACUGCCUGUCAGACUGCAUGGCUUGAGACCGGGAGAGGUGAGUGGAAUUCCCAGUGUAGCGGUGAAAUGCGUAGAUAUUGGGAGGAACACCAGUGGCGAAGGCGGCUCACUGGACCGGUACUGACCGCUGAGGCGCGAAAGCGUGGGGAGCAAACAGGAUUAGAUACCCUGGUAGUCCACGCCGUAAACGAUGAGUGCUUGGUGUAGCGGGUAUCGACCCCUGCUGUGCCGAAGUCAACACAUUAAGCACUCCGCCUGGGGAGUACGGGUCGCAAGACUG